UGACUCAACACGGGGAAACUCMCCAGGUCCAGACAAAAUAAGGAUUGACAGAUUGAGAGCUCUUUCUUGAUCUUUUGGAUGGUGGUGCAUGGCCGUUCUUAGUUGGUGGAGUGAUUUGUCUGCUUAAUUGCGAUAACGAACGAGACCUCGGCCCUUAAAUAGCCCGGUCCGCAUUUGCGGGCCGCUGGCUUCUUAGGGGGACUAUCGGCUCAAGCCGAUGGAAGUGCGCGGCAAUAACAGGUYUGUGAUGCCCUUAGAUGUUYUGGGCCGCACGCGCGCUACMCUGACAGGGCCMGCGAGUACAUCACCUUGGCCGAGAGGUCUGGGUAAUCUUGUUAAACCCUKUCSKGCCYGGG
Molecule: ribosomal RNA, 356 nt
Filed under: Aspergillus niger
Lineage: Eukaryota; Fungi; Ascomycota; Eurotiomycetes; Eurotiales; Aspergillaceae
Description: partial small subunit ribosomal RNA
Source: RNAcentral